AGAGUUUGAUCAUGGCUCAGAUUGAACGCUGGCGGCAGGCCUAACACAUGCAAGUCGAGCGGUAACACAAGGGAGCUUGCUCCUGAGGUGACGAGCGGCGGACGGGUGAGUAAUGCCUAGGGAUCUGCCCAGUCGAGGGGGAUAACAGUUGGAAACGACUGCUAAUACCGCAUACGCCCUACGGGGGAAAGGAGGGGACCUUCGGGCCUUCCGCGAUUGGAUGAACCUAGGUGGGAUUAGCUAGUUGGUGAGGUAAUGGCUCACCAAGGCGACGAUCCCUAGCUGUUCUGAGAGGAUGAUCAGCCACACUGGGACUGAGACACAGCCCAGACUCCUACGGGAGGCAGCAGUGGGGAAUAUUGCACAAUGGGGGAAACCCUGAUGCAGCCAUGCCGCGUGUGUGAAGAAGGCCUUCGGGUUGUAAAGCACUUUCAGUAGGGAGGAAAGGUAAUAGUUUAAUAAACUAUUACUGUGACGUUACCUACAGAAGAAGGACCGGCUAACUCCGUGCCAGCAGCCGCGGUAAUACGGAGGGUCCGAGCGUUAAUCGGAAUUACUGGGCGUAAAGCGUGCGCAGGCGGUUUGUUAAGCCAGAUGUGAAAUCCCCGGGCUCAACCUGGGAAUUGCAUUUGGAACUGGCGAACUAGAGUCUUGUAGAGGGGGGUAGAAUUCCAGGUGUAGCGGUGAAAUGCGUAGAUAUCUGGAGGAAUACCGGUGGCGAAGGCGGCCCCCUGGACAAAGACUGACGCUCAUGCACGAAAGCGUGGGGAGCAAACAGGAUUAGAUACCCUGGUAGUCCACGCCGUAAACGAUGUCUACUCGGAGUUUGGUGACUUAGUCACUGGGCUCCCAAGCUAACGCAUUAAGUAGACCGCCUGGGGAGUACGGCCGCAAGGUUAAAACUCAAUUGAAUUGACGG
Molecule: ribosomal RNA, 919 nt
Filed under: uncultured bacterium
Lineage: Bacteria
Description: bacterial SSU rRNA
Rfam family: Bacterial small subunit ribosomal RNA
Source: RNAcentral